GCUUCCUUUCCUUCUUCAAAACCCUAGCCGCCGUUGCUCUCUCCCUCGCCCUUUUCUUUUUCUUUUCUCUGCCUUUUUCUCCUUAGCCCUCAACCGAGAGCCUCUCCCUCUGUUUUUUCUUUCUCUGUUUUCUUUUUUCUCUCCCCCCCAAACGAAGCUCUCUGUUUUUUUUCUCUCAAUUUCUCCUAGUCUCCCUCAUCCAGCCGUCAACUCUACUAUCCUCCCCUCUUUUCUCCCGUUGUCUCCCUUUUUCGGUCCUCACUCCCCUCUCAAAAACCUAAGCCAACCAAGUGUCUAGACACCUAACCCCUUAGGUGUUGUGUUGUCAACCUAUAAUGAGGACAUUUGUCCCACAUGCAAGAUUCCACCUAUUCACACAUUAUAUUUUUUUUUCUCCAAAAAUUAAUUUAAGUAAACAAACAAAUGAUUAAAACAACUUUUUUUUCUUUUUUCUUUUUUUUUUUGGAAAAUUUUCUUUCUCUGAAAUUUAAUACUAAAAAUGUCUAAAAUAAAAACUAAGAGACUAGAAAUGAAUAAUAAUUAACAUUUAACCAAUGAAAAAUAAAAAUAAUAGCACAUAAAACUAAAUUAAAAAUUUGGUGUCUACAGUUUGCCCCUCUUUGUCUGAGUUUCGAAGAAACUCGAGACAAAGACGUAGACACCAAAUACUCACCUGUGGUUAUUCUGUUGCAAACUACUCGAACGACUGACGCUUUUGAAAUGAGGACUGAUCCCUUUAACAAAAAAUUUCAAAAUGGGACUGAUCCCUUUAACAAAAAAUUUCAAAAUGGGAUUGACCCAGACAAGAAAUUUAAAACGGGACUGACUCGAACGAAAAAUGUAAACCGGGACUGACCCGAACAAGAAAUUUAAAACGGAACUGACUCGAACAGGAAAUUAAAACGGGACUGACCCGAUCAGGAAUUUAAAAACGGGAUUGAUCCGAACAGGAAAUUUAAAAUGGGACUGAUGUGACGCCCCCGCUUCUCCCAAGGGCGAACCCUAGGGUAUCGGCGGGACGCCUGCCUAGCUCGCGCCAGGACUCAAAAUUUAAAACAAUAAAACUAGAUAAACCCACAAGCGUACUAUUCACUAUAUAUCUAAUGCCAAAAGAGUUCUAUUUACAUCUUCAAAAGUAUCGAGUCAAACCACUCUAAUACAUUAGAAUAACAACCAGCAGAAGGUAGACCCUAUGGAGGGUCCUUAUACAAACCACCAAAACAAAAAACAAACAUCCUAAUUGUCCGACUAUUACAAUCAAACCUAACUAUACUAGUGAAGGUGCCAAGAAGUUCCCCGCGUCGUCCCCUGCUAAGGAAAACAAAGGAAACGGGGUAAGCUAGAAGCUUAGUAAGUAAACAGGAUAAAAGUGUAAAAUUUCACAUUUAAAGAAACAGCUAUUCCACAAAAUGUCAAGUCGAGUGCAAAAGUAAAAAUACAAAGAAAGGAUACAGGUUGGCUCCAAAGCCAAGUCAUUUGCCAUGCGUGAUCUCCUGUCGACACUCCGUCAACCAUAAAUAAGGUCCGUAGAACUCCACUUGUACACCCACCGAACACCUUAUCACCCUCACUGGCCAGUCACCUCACAAACUUGCCCGGGCGAACGAAAUCAUAAACUUGAGCUUGAGUCACAAGCUCGGGUCACAAACUUGGUCCACAUUCUCGGUGAACCGGAUUCACAAACUUGGUGACCUCAGACUAAGUUGGACUGGCUUCGACCAAGCCCUGACCGGCUCGAAUAGUCCAUCUAGGUCGGAAGAUCAACCCCAACUUACAAACGUCACCCCGAGCUACAAGCUCAAGGGGUUCAAACCCAAAACUCACAAACGUCACCCCAAGCUACAAGUUCAAGGGGUUCAAACCCAAAAUAAUUCAUGUAUACACAUCUCAUAAAGAAACAUAGGUACAAAGUAGGGUUUAGGUCGAGUGUGAUAAAGUACACCCUCGCCUAAGUUCCCCUUUUAUUCACAUCAAAACACAUAAGCAGUUUAUACACAUAAACGGCCUGAAUACUUACACAACGAACAAAAGAGCAAAAGUACGAAAUUCGUGCCGCGAGGAGUAGCUAGUAGGCCCCACCGGCUCCACCUAGCUCAUCAACGUCUGAAAUUGAAGAUUGCAUCACAUAUUAUCACAAACGGCCACUAACAUGCCCAAAACAAGCAAAACGGCAAAAUCGGCACAUGCAAGUGCGGAAACGGCAAAAUGGGCGCACGCGCGCGCGCGAAACGGCAAACGGAAAUGGCCAAAUCUGCCAUCUCAAACCAUUUUGAUCAAAAGUUAGGCUAGGAAUGUCGGAUCAAGGUGAACGAGACACCAUUUCGAAGCUAUGAGGAAGGGCUACAAUUCUCAUGAAGACACCUUAAUCUAGAUCUGAAUGGAAGCAGGUCGAAAUUAUGGAAAACAGUACCAGAAAUUUACGUGUUCGGGUGACGAACAGGGUUUGUUUGCUGGACCAUAACUCACAGCUCACAAAUCCAAAUCAAGAAAUUCCAUAGGUGUUGGAAAUCUAGGACAUAAGGCUACAACUUUCAUGUUUGGACCAAAAGCUGAAUCAAUACAGAGCAUGGAGAAAAAUAGGUCCAAACAUUCCUGUCAGAACUGUCCAAAUUCGAAGGCAGUUCUGACAACCGAUCUUGUUUUGGUCAUAACUGGAGCUACGGGACUCGGAUUUGGAUGAACUUUAUACCGUUUCGAAGCUGAAACCAAGAUAUAUAUUUAUUAUCAAGGGGUAAACACCCAGUUCAUACGUUAUCAAAACGGAUAAAGCAAGGUCAGAAGCAAAAUUCAGAACGUACGCAAUUCCAGGGUACAAAACAGGUGCGAGUGUUUUGGCUAUAACUCGGGCUACCUCAGUCCAAAUCAAGUGAUUCCGAAGCCAACCGAAAGCUAAGACAUCAGGUUACAUUUCUUAAGAAGACAUCAACAACCAAAUCAGAAGUAUUCCCAACCAAAUUAACCAAUUACAGAAGUAAUUAUCAAGUUCGGAUAGAAACAGGGCAGCAGGGGUAUUUCGGUGUUUUCACCGGCUACGUUGCUCCGAUUGAGCUGAAAUUUUGCAGGCACCUAUAAAAUACCAUUCUAUACAAUUUUCAUGUUUUAUGCCAAGCCUAAUUCGGCCUCUAAGAUGGUGCAAUAAAACCGGACAGAACAAGGCUGAAAUUUUCCAGAAAUCUGGGAAUUUUGGGAUUCAAUGAAACUUUCUUCAUUUCUUGCCUCAAUCCACCACCACAACCUCCUAUAUAAGCUUAGAUACAAUAUAUAUCAUCCAUAUAGCAAAUAUAGGCAGAAAUCAUCAAACCCUAACUUAUAUAUAUCUCCUUAAAAUCAUCCCAACAACUUGUAUCACAACUAAUCUAACCAAAACAUGAAUUAUAUAACAUCUUAAUCAAAAAUAAAAGAACCAAAGCUAUGGGUUAGACCUUGUACCUCAACAAAAGAAGCUUGCAAGAGUAAUACUUCACCUUCUCUUGGAAUUUUUGUUUCCCCUAGCUUCCCAAGAUCACAACUCACACUUUAAUCGGUUUAGUUUUUCUUGUUUUCACUCAUUCAAGCUCAAACCAAGAUUGAUUGAAGUUUCCUUUUCUUUUGUUUUUCCUCCCUCAACUCACGGCUGAUAUGCAGAAAUAAUGGAGGAAAUAGGUUGGUUUUUGGUGAUAAAUAUGGUGUAAAGUAGUUAGUCAACCAUCCAAUGAAAUACCGCCACUUGUCGCCACCAAUUCCAUUCAUUUUUUCCCUUCUCUCUCUUGGUAUUUAAAGUCAACAAUUGUGGCUGAUGGAUGAGAUAUUUUGAGGGUUAAUUAGCUGUAAUAAAAUAAGAAGAUUAAGGUAAUAAAGUAGGGAUCAAGUGGUGUGUUCAAUUGGUAGCGCGCGACACCCGUCGGUCCAAGCCGUUUGUCCUAAAAUCGCAUAUACUUGAGUUUUUAACUUCUAAUCACUAACUUAUUAUUAUCACUUCUAAUUAUAUAAUAUUUCCUCAUCCAAAAGUCACUCUUAGCUACCAAAUUUGAUCCUUACUCGGUACCGAAUAGGCACACUACGAAAAAAUGUGAAAACCCUAAUUUGUUCCAAUCUUGAAACCGAAAAGUGAAACCCUACUUUUUAGGUUCAUUUACACUUAUUGUGGAAUGACUGGGUAGUAGGGCUAUAACAAAUAAAUAAUUUUCAAAUAAAGGGCAUUGUUAAGAAAAACGUGAGGAAUUUUACAAUUCCAGUGAUUAAAAUUAGGGUUUCAAUUAAAAUAUGAGGGAUUUAAGAAAUCCGGUUAGUCACAAGUAAACUAGGGUUUUUGAUUAAAAUAUUAGGGUUUCUAAUCUUUUAAAACAAAAUAAGGUUUUAAAUCAAAUCCAAAGAAAUAGUAUUUUCUUUACAAACAACCUCCUAAUAUUCGGGGUGUCACAACUGACCCGAACAGGAAAUUUAAAACGGGACUGACUCGAACAAAAAAUUUAAAACGGGACUGACCCGAACAGAAAUUUAAAACGGGACUAACCCGAACAGGAAAUUUAAUACGGGACUGACCCGAAACUGCCAUGACAUUGGUCAGUGGGAUACAACCCAAGCCUGCCGAGUUUGGUGGUACAAAAUUCAAGUCCAACUGGAUGAAAUGAAGUGAAAUAAAGUGUUAAUGGGACUGACCCAUGUCUAACGAUAAGAUGAAUGAAGUACUCACUAGUGGGACUAACCCAUGUUUAGUGGCAAUGAAAAUGAAAUGUUGACUAGUGGGACUAACCCCUGUUUAGUGGCAACGUAAAUGAAAUGCUCACUAGUGGGAUUGACCCAUGUUUAAUGGCGGUGUAAAUGAAAUGCUCACUAGUGGGACUGACCCAUGUUUAGUGGCGAUGUAAAUGAAGUGCUCACUAGUGGGACUGACCCAUGUUUAGUGGCAGUGUAAAUAAAAUACUCACUAGUGGAACUGACCCAUGUUUAGUGGCAGUGUGAAUGACAAUGCUCACUAGUGGGACUAACCCAUGUUUAGUGGCAGUGUAAAUGAAAUGCUCACUAGUGGGACUAAUCCAUGUUUAGUGGCAGUGAUGAAUGAAAUGCUCACUAAUGGGACUAAUCCAUGUUUAGUGGCAAUGUAAAUGAAGUGCUGGUAUGUAUGAAGAAACUGUACAAGACUUAUUUGAACAAUUAUCCAAAGAUUUGCCCCAGUGUGAUGUGUUGUCAUCUUCAUUUGAAACUUUCCUUUCCCAAUCUCAUCAUCCAUGAUGUCCAUUUUUGUUCGACAAGCUGUUUUGUCAUCAAGUCCUUUUGAGACUUUCAAUUUCUGACAUUCCAUUGAGACGAACUUCUUUGUCUGGAAUUAAGAUUGUCAACUGUUCGUGUUCCAUUGUGCUUUCGCAGGGAUGAACAAAUCCAAAUGCUCUUUUAGCAAAUCAAGGGAUUGUCACUUGGCCAAAUCCAAUGAUUAUGGUCAUACACUUUAUUGAACAAAUGAUUGCAAAAAAUAUUGCAAAUUAUCGUUGUAAAGUGAAUCAAAAUAAAGUGGCCUUGGCAUGAAACGUCAUCCUUGGCCCUUUUGAAUAUCUCUGCUCCAGAGUUUCUAUGUUGGCGAAAGCACUGUAAAGAUGAGGAGACGUCCAAAUGAACCGAGUCACCAUCUGUUUUCACUCAUGUCUGCUCUUGAGAAAAUCCUAUCUUAGUGCCCUUUCGGGUUUUCACUAAGGUCGCCCUCACCCUUUUUUUGUUUUGUUUUUAUUUUUUUUUUGACUUUUUGAUUUUUUGAUUUUUGGAUUUUGGAUUUUUUCAUUUUUUUGAUCGAGAGAAUCUUUUCAAAAAUAAUUUGCCCCAAUGUAGGGCCCUUUUGUUUUCUUCUUUCUUCUUUUUUCCCUGGCAUCGGCCUUCCACAUUGCUAGGUGUUUCUUCAUUGAUUUCAGUCAUGAAUACCUGCACAGGGAGCUUACGAAAAUACAACAUGCACUUAACUUCCUUAUCUUAUUUUAAAAUUGAUGCACCUACUACUCAUGUAAAGAGCAGUAUGAUUAAUUCAAAAAUAUCUUGCUUGACUCUUGGACGAAAUUCUCAAAUGUGUUACAAAAAUUUGCCCCAGUAUGGACUUAUUUUGCGAAAUCUCACAAAUAAAAAUUUGCCCCAGUGUGAGCCCACUUGAUUUGCAAAAAAAAAUUAUUUGGAUGACUCUCUAUUUAUUUGAACAAAACAAAUUUCAUUUCCUAAAAUCUAGGAAAUAAUCACAUAUAAUGUGAAGAAAAAGUCUUGCUUAAACUUAUACAGCAAAUUUCAUGAUGAAUUUCUCGAAAUAAUACCAAAUUACAAAAGAUUUCUUCCUCACUUUAGCAUCGAUGCUUAGGGUAAUGGGUCAUCACUUCUUGCUAGCUCGUCUUUCAGGGCCAAUCAAGUGAUCUUAUUCUGAUUUUGAAAGGGCUAAGGGAAAUGAGAGGUCAGGAUUUGUCUUAUUCUUGUGCCCAAAUUGUAUGUAAUCCCUUCAAUAUCACAUCUUAGUGAAAACAAAUAGUUUGUCACCCUUAUUUCUUAAGAAAACUUAGUCAACAUAUAAGUUUUAUAAACUUGUAACAUACGGGUAGAAACGAUAGCUAAACAUAUGGAAACAGGUUAUAGCCUUAUGAUCACGAAUGAUUGAUAGAUUCCUUAGAAAUAUGAUCCUUACUUCGAAUUGUCAUGAAGGAUAAGUCAACGAUGGAUUUUAUUAGCUUGUAAAGUGGCUUGAAAACGAUAGUUAAAUAAAUAAAAUUUUUAAGGACAUUGCACUGAAGAUCGCAUUUCCUCCAAAAAAUUGCCCCAAUUUUGGGCUCAAAGAUCUCGACCUCUGUUUGGUUUUUAUAAUCACUCAACAAGGACUUUCAACAUCGAAUAUUUUUACAUUUUUUUUUGCAUUUAUUUCGCUCGCUUUUCCCCUUUUCUUUUUUUUUUUCAAAAGUGCCCUUGCAGGUUUUCACAUGAAGAGCAGUGUCAACCUCACAUCUAAUCAAUUCAAAUAUAUUUAAAAAUUCCUUGGCAUCAGUAUAUGAGCAUCACUUGCCAAUUAAAAAAUUUCUUGACAGAGAUAUUGCAAAGAACAGAAGUCAGGACUUUAGACUUUUGUAAUGGGGUCUAGUGGGGUGCUUAGAAAAAUUAAGGCUUGAAAGCGGAUUUCAAAAGUGGUUUAAAUGAUCUGAAAUCGCAUUGUUGCGCCAACCCCAUUUUUAGGGUUAAAUCAAAACCUGCCCCAAUUUAUUCUUAACUGAGGCUCUUUUCUCUUUCAUUUGCUUCUCUCUCUUUUCUUUUUGGCCUUCUGCCAUUCUUUUGAACUUUUCAAAAUUUGCCCCAAUUUAUGCUUAACUGAGAUUCUCUACUUUUUCUUUUGUUACUUUAUCACUUUUCACCUCUUGAAACUUUUCUUUUCCUUUGCAACUCAAACUUGCCCCAGUGUGGGGUUUGCGAUUCUCAGUGGUUGCCAAACGACGUAUUUUAUUUUGAAGGCUCGAAAGGGAUAAUUAGGAAUAGAAUGUUUGAUUGGAAAAGAAGAGGGUCUGACUUUUUAUUCCGUUCCUUACAAUAGCUCUAAAAGGAAACUUUCAUUAAUGCGAAAUUUCUUGCAUGUAUAUGAAUUAAUUGAUUGAGGAAGACUUCUGUUCAUCCAUAUCUGUGAAACAUAAGUGAUCCGCCGGACAAAACUCUUCCUUUUUUUCAAAAUUGAAUCCCAGAUAGAAUCAAAUUUCCCCAAUUUGUAAUUCCCUCUCUUCUUUUUCUGUUUCCGCAUUUUUGCCUUUUCUCUUUUUCUUGCAAAAAUUCUCCAAUCUCUUUCCCUAAUGUGGGGUGCGAUUAUAAAUGCUUUUGACAAGAACCACUCAUUUUAGCUCAAAUGAGGAUGCAAGGGAUAAAUAGUGUUUAGAUUGUAGAAACGAUGGCCAAAGUAUCAUUCUUACCCCUCAUGACAACCAAAGUAACAAAUAGCUUAUUGAAAAUCCAUUCCCUUUUGAUAUUUGAAAAUCUUUCAAUGUAGGGUAGUGAUUAUUAAGACUCUUAUUUGAAGCGAAAUUAUUCUUUCUCUCUUUUUUUUUAAAGGCUCAAAUGGGAGAGCAAAUGAUAAAAUUUGUAUAGAUAGAGAAAUGAACGCUUGAAGUAUCAUUCCAAAUUUUCAAAACAAAUAAAAAUAAUGUACAUUUUUGCUUUCACUUAAAUGUGGAUUGAAUCUGAUUAGACACAGUGGGCAUUUUCAAACAAAGAUUUCUCCAAUUUAUAAUUUAUCAAUCAAUGUGACUGAUUUUAUUAUGAGGUUAAUAAAAGUGGGCAAAAUAUGAAUUGUACAGUGAAGGAGAAAAAAGGGUAUUGCAUUGGGUCUUUUGAGUGACCUCUUUUAAUUCUGAACACUCUUAUUGUAUAGCUCGGAUCACCAAUCUAGUGUAUGUAAAGAUUUUAGAAAGCAUGCACUUGUGAAUUGUCAGGCUAGAGGUUGAAAAAAUCUCAAUUUAGUCUUAUUUCUUAAAAUUCAUCAUGAAAUCCCUCAAAUAGCCAAUAAAGAAUGAAAUAUACAUGAUUAUAUACAAACAAUAAUUGUCUAAAUAAAAACUUUAUUGCUGAAAAAGUUUAAGACAAAAUUAUAAUACAAAUGAGACAAGAAAAACUUCUAAAGAGCUCCACAUAUACACACUUUUUGACUCUUUUUCUUUUGAAACAAAAAUGUAUUAACAAAUCAAAUAAACAAAAUUUUCUCUUUGACAAACAAUUAUGAAGUCUCUUAGGUGCUUUAGCCUAGCGCCUCCAGAUAGAUUGUUCAAAUUGUAGGGUCUGUCCAAGAAUCAAUUGAUAAUUGUAAUUUUCAAGAUUUAUUCGAUAAAAAUCGUUAUCAGGUAUAGAAAAAUAUUUCCACCUUCUUGAAACAUCUUUUAUAAAUGUAGGGGAGGGGGAAAAAAAUAAAAAGAAAAAAUACCCAGAGUUAGUAAGUAAAAUUGUAAAAUCGGUAUGCAUGUCCUAUGGAGGAGCCCUUUUAUGCCAAGGGUAAGCCUAGUAUGAAAAUGCAAUCCUCUGGGGUAGGCACUAUACAAUACCUAAUGAAUCCGACCAACUUAUUGAGUGAAAAAUAAUUUGAAAAAUUUGGCCAAUUGAAGUGAGAAGAGACAUUUGUCCUAAAAAUGAGAACAAAGUCCGAAUGAAUUGCUUGCUUUGAUUAACACAUAAAAUGACGUGUAAAAGAACCUACUCUUGAAAGGAUUGCAAUGUCUCGACUAAUUUAUUCAGUUAACCUUAGACUUAAACCCUAAAGGGAAUAUGUGGGUCAAAUGAAUAGGAUGAAAUUGAUAAUUUAUUCAAAAUUGACUAGAUCACUCUAAAAAUAGAUAAACUGGUCCAAUGAAUUGAAUGGAGUUGAUGAUUUAUUCAAAAUUGAUCAGAUCACCCUAAAAAGGGUAAAUUGGUCGAAUGAAAUUGAUGAUUUAUUCAAAAUUGACCGGAUCAUCCUAAAAAGGGGUAAAUUGGUCAAAUGAAUGGAAUGAAACUGAUGAUUUAUUCCAAAAUUGACUAGAUUGUCCUAAAGAUGAAUGAAUUGACCAAAUAGAUUGGAUGAAUUUAAUGGAUAAUUUGAUCAAAUGAAUUGAAUGGAAAUGAUGGCUUAUUGAAUUGUCUACCUAUUGGUGCUUUCAAAAAAUCAUUGUGAUGCAUUAGUCUAUGAGUCUUCUAAAAUCAAGAUUUGGCCUCAAUAUAUUUAUCGUCUUAACAAAGAAGGAUCAUUUGUAAAUUUCUUCAAAUUAAUGUCCUUUACGUAAGAGAUUUUUACCAGUUCUUGAUAAAUGGCCAAAAAAUGAUUGUUAGAUGUUCAUAUUCUAAUGUGCAAAAUUUGUUCUACGAUUAUGGAAGAAAAUCGGAUCCUACCUUACUUUGUGCACUACCCCUUUGGAAGGUACAAGAAACAUAAACAUGCAAGUCUCAUUGGACUACUUGUCCGAGACAUAAGGUAGUUUAUUCCUAUCGUGGGAUCCCCUAAAUGGCAUUCCCUUUUACGGUUUAUGCAUGAUGUUAUUUUAUCAAAUCAAUAAAAUAUACAAUUUAAACGAUAUCAUGACCUAAAGGGACCCUUUAUACUCCAGGGUGGGCCUAGAAUGAUAUGCAAUUAUUAAUCUAUAUAUGCAAUAUACCAAAAUCUUUAAACGUGCAAUAACCUAUCUAAAAGGUAAGGUUCUAAAAAAAAGAUCAUGCCAAACCUCUUAUUUUCUAAUGUUUGUGAAUGCAAAAGACAAGAAACAAGGACAGUUAGUUCAACACAUAACACGUUGUGGCAAUCAAAUAAUAAAAUAUAGAAAGCAAAAAUAAGGAAAGAGGGUUGGAAUCCCUCCCUUCGUGCCUUGUGUCCCUAAUUUAGGAUAAGGUCGACUCUACCCUAGGCAAUUCUAUUAUGGAUGCAUGAGGUUUGGUUCUCUAAUGCAUAUAGACUCGAUAAGGUUUCGGCUCCCAAGCCUUCAGACCUAAAGGCGAAAGGUCAUCACUCCCAAGGCCUUCGGUCGGUGGCUCGAGUGAUCCCUUAGGCAUCGCUAUGGGCGCAGUGCACACCAUCCGCCUACCUAAGGAAAUCGAUCCUAAUCCUACAGGGAGAUGUGGGAUAGCGCCCACGAUAAAGAAAAAAUAGGGUAAAUAAAACUAUGCAUACACGUAUGAAGUGCUUUUCUUUUGAGAGGAGGGAUUAUACCAUCAAAUGCAGUCGAAGGUUCUAGGGUAAAAUCCCCCCACCCAAAUGCAAUGCAAAGCGCAGGAUAACAUAAAUGAACCAUCCAUCAUUCAAAUCAAACGUACGCAAAUGGGUGAGGGAGUGAGUUGAUAUACGCGAAAUGUAAAAAUCCUAAAAAAGGAAAAAUGCAACACUAAGCAUCCAAAUGCGAUACAUGAAAAGGGUAGAAGAGGAAAAGAAUAACUAAAUCAAGUGCUUGGACCCAUUUAGGAAAUCCCCAGUGGAGUCGCCAAGCUGUCGCGUCCCAUUUUUUAAUAAAGAUAUGUGAAGUAUGGUUUGAAAAUUAGUGAGGUGUGUGAAAAUGCAAAUGAAAGAAAAAGACCAUGGGGCUUUGAAAUGCGACGGUUUGGCCAAAAAUAGUAAUCUAAAAAGGUUUUGAUAAAAUGUAGGAGUCGCCACUUGGUAUUGAGUUAGUGUGUACCAAGUCACCCAAAAAAUGUGGAUUUAAAUGUAAAAUCUUUUUAGAUUGACUCCAAAAUCUAGGAUAAAUCAGAGAAAAAUGGUUCGGGGGUCAUAGUUGAAGAGAGGGAAGACAAAGACAAUGUCUAAUGCACCCUCUCAACCUAGCUUAAGUUAGUUGCAUGAUUUAGUCAUGAUUUUCCUAAUUUCUAACCAAAAGAUGUAUCGCAUUUGGAUGUAACUAAUAUGAAUGUAAUCCUAAACCUAAUGAGGAAUCGAAAGGGACAAAUAUCUCUUAGAGGCUCGAUCGGACUAAAUCAUAUGAGUUGUGAUAGCCAAGGAUAAGCCUUCCAAGAGGUCAUGAGUAAUGCUAAUGAUGAGAGCUUGUGUGAAGUGAAAAAAGUAAUAAUAAAAAUAAUAGUGUGUAAGUGGGGAGUGUGCAAAUGGGGGUGCAAGGUGAGGUAUGUAAAGUGAUCGUGUGAAGUGCAUGUGUGCUCAAUGGUAGUAUGUAAAGUGCUAGUGGUAGAGUGAGAAUGUGUAAGAUAAAAGUCAUGUGAAGUGAAUAUGUGGAAAAAGUAAUAGUAUAUGAAGUGAGAGUGCAAAGUGAUAGUGAGUAAAUGAAAUGCAUGAACCCUAGAGGAAUGCAAGCAAAACGGGUACGGGGAGAGCCUAAAUCGUGACUUUUGCUUUUCCUGUUGGUUAGAAAAAGAAUGAGCGUGCUAAGGCUAUGUGUAGCCAAACUCGUCCAUCCCCCUUACCAAAAGAGUAACUCCCUAAGCUAAUCAGGCAAAUGACCCUAAUGACUAGAGUGAAAUGCAAAAUCCUAAAGAUCAUACUUUGAAUGUGGGAAAAGGGUAAAAGAUCAUGCAAAAACGUAAAAAAUACUAAGAAAAAUGCAUGAAAAUGUUGUGAAGGCAUGCGAGUAUGUACUAGCGAGGGACGGCCCUAUUGGGUCUAGCAUUGGACUAGCCCUUUACUAACGCUUUCUCACAAGCAUUGGACUUGUGAGCGAUCGGGAAUAAGUAACCAUGACUAGCAUUGGACUAGCCACGGUUAUAUAGUACAUUUGCAUUCACCAUAUAUACACAAGUAAAUGGGCAUAGUUAAAGCAAGUAGGCAUGUGAGCACGUAAUUCACAUAACACAUAAGCAUGCAUAUCUAGAUGCUAAAUCCUAGGAAAACGGUAACACAUAGCACGUAAGCAUGCAAACCACACAAAACAAAAUAAAAACAAUAAGUCCUAACUAUUAUAUUCGGGAAGUCCUACUACAAUCUAAAGGGGGAAGUGAAAAUAAAUAAUUAAAAUAAAUACCUAACUAUUACAAUUUGGCAUUUGAAUGCCUUUCAAAUAAUCAACAUUGAACUAAAAUAAAUUUACAAAAGUAACCAAAUAAAGUAACUAAAUGAAUAAAUAAAAUGAGAAUAUUCAAAAGGCAUGAAAUUAAGCACAUAAAGUCACAUAAGGGCACAUAGGAUCAAAUAAAGUAAGAAAUAAGGGAUAGGGUGUACCUCCCUUGAGUUGGGGCUCUAAGGACAUGAAUUACUUAUUUACCCUCCAAAAGAAUAAAAAUGUCAAUGUACCAAUUUAAUUGAGAAAAUUAAAGAAAAUAUGCAAACACAAACUCACUUGGCCAUAAAGCCCUUAAAAUUAUGAAUUAAGUGCAAUUUAGACAAGGCAUGGUGGCUAAUUGAAGAAAACAAGCAAUGGAGUUGCAACAUUAGAGCUGCCAAGGACCCAAUUGUAAAUAUUAGGAAAAUUUUUAGGGCCUGAUCAUGAUUUCCAGAACUCUAGGGCCAAAAUUGAAGAAAAGAUAAAGUUCAGGGCCUAAUUUGAAAUUGCAACAGGGACCCAAUUGAAAGCACUUGUAAAAGUCUUGGGGUCAAAUAUGAAGUCCUAAAAUUCUGGGGUUAAACCACAAAGACAAUAAGACUAAAGGGGCUGAAAUUAUAAAUCCAAACAAGCAAUCAUCCUCUCCAAACAGAUUCGGCAUCAGUUUCCAUUUCCGUCUUCCUUCGCGGAUGGAGAAUACCAGAAAAAUUCAACUCUGGCCACUCCCCAAAAAGAAAAAAAACUCACACAAACUCCCUCUCGUACAAGUUCAUGACAUUAAUUCGAGUUUAUAUAAAAGGAAGAUUAAAACAGAAAAAUGCAAAAAUGAGCACAUCAUAAGCUUCCGGAACUCUAUUUUUCCUCCAUAAAAGUCAUGACAAGCAUUGAAUCUUACUGUCCACUUGUUUUCUUCAUACGUAAUAUGCGGAUGAAUCAUCUUUCAAGUAGAAAUUUCACUCAGGCAUUUUAACAAACAGCAAAUGGGCAUGAAAAAAUUCCAGCAAGUUUUUGCUCAAACGAUGCUAUAACUUGCCCCAAAAAUCAUCAGAAAACACACGAGAUUUCAGUUCCAUUCAUACAUGAAACAGGCGUUCCAAAAUCGUGUAUAAUCAGCAAAAUAAUGAACAAAAUCAGAAAAUAUGCUUUGAGCGUUUCAUGCAUUCGUGUUUGAAGGAAGACUCAAAUUUGAAGUGGAAAGACGGCUUACAGUUUGUUUCUUGGUGAAACUUCGCCAGUGCUGAUGUCGGAUUCGGUUGCUUGGGCCGACGGUUGGCCAAUUGCUUGUGCCGGCAGAGGGUGGAGCCUGAGCUAUGGGGGGAGAGGCGAUGAAGCUGGCGUCGCGCGUGACUGAGGAGGGCGGCAAAAGGCGGUGCGAGCGAUGGUGGGCUUCGGCAUGCGGAGGGAAGGGACGGCGGCGUGCGAAGGGUUACGGCGAGCGUAAGCAACCGGGGAAGCGUCCUCUUCCUCAUUUUCUUUUCCUCUUUCGGCCGAAGCCUUUCUUGCUCUCUGUUUCUUUUUUCUUUCAGUUUUUUUCUCUCCUCCCACUCAGCCGGCCCCUCUAUUCUUUCUUUUGCUUCCUUUCCUUCCUCAAAACCCUAGCCGCCGUUGCUCUCUCCCUCGCCCUUUUCUUUUUCUUUUCUCUGCUUUUUUCUCCUUAGCCCUCAACCGAGAGCCUCUCCCUCUAUUUUUUCUUUCUCUGUUUUCUUUUCUCUCACCCCCCAAACGAAGCUCUCUGUUUUUUUUUCUCUCAAUUUCUCCUAGUCUCCCUCCUCCAGCCGUCAACUCUACUAUCCUCCCCUCUUUUCUCCCGUUGUCUCCUUUUUUCGGUCGUCACUCCCC
Molecule: long non-coding RNA, 14246 nt
Filed under: Coffea arabica (coffee)
Lineage: Eukaryota; Viridiplantae; Streptophyta; Magnoliopsida; Gentianales; Rubiaceae
Description: long non-coding RNA (CARA_LNC006823)
Source: RNAcentral